CCUACGGGAGGCAGCAGUGGGGGAUAUUGCACAAUGGGGGGAACCCUGAUGCAGCGACGCCGCGUGGGUGAAGAAGGGCCUCGGGGCGUAAAGCCCUGUCAGCAGGGAAGAAAAUGACGGUACCUGAAGAAGAAGCCACGGCUAACUACGUGCCAGCAGCCGCGGUAAUACGCAGGGGGCAAGCGUUAUCCGGAUUUACUGGGUGUAAAGGGGGCGGAGACGGCAGCGCAAGCCAGGGGGGAAAGCCCGGGGCCCCACCCCGGGACUGGUCUUGGAACUGCGCGGCUGGAGUGCAGGUGGGGCAGGCGGAAUUCCUGGUGUAGCGGUGAAAUGCGUAGAUAUCAGGCGG
Molecule: ribosomal RNA, 349 nt
Filed under: uncultured bacterium
Lineage: Bacteria
Description: partial 16S ribosomal RNA
Rfam family: Bacterial small subunit ribosomal RNA
Source: RNAcentral